AAGAGUGGUAAACAACGGUGUUCAGAGAACUAAUGUUUACUCACAAACUUGCUGCAAAAUGAUUAAAGAUGGUUUCGAGAGUUGCCUGGCUGAUACUGUAUUCUGCUAUGCCCAGUUGAUUUCUAUUUUGCUCCAGGUGUCCAAAAACAUCUGCAAGCGAGAGCCCGUCUCUGUAUGGCAGCUGAUAUUUAACACUCAAACCAUUGCACGCUUGAACUGUAGCACCAGGAAAUGAAGACAGCACAAAUGAAUCAAUAGCUGAAAACUUUUCUUUGGCUAACCACCACUCAGAAAAUAUUGGUAGUGGUAUCCCACCAUCUCGAACCAACUGCUCUGCUAACUGUUCACCAAAAACCCCAUCAGAAACUGGCAUUGAUAAAAGUGUGUGCGCUCUUUCUUCAUUGCCAAGCCAGCGUCCAAUCAACAUUAUUAUUUCUUGGGACAAGCUGAUCUCUGCCACUGAAGCAUUUUCAGAUGUGAUGCAGUCAACUGCUCCAAUGCAAACUUCAAUGUCAUCAAGUAAGCUUCUUGGAUGUGAAGGAAUGUUCAGAAGCCUUUCUUGAAUAAUUUGGCAAAGAUUUUCCAAGUCCACUGAGCUAACCUCAGUGGGUUUAACCUCUAGCUCAAGGUGAUUCCCAAAUCGUGUUUUCAGAUGCUGGGGACUUCCAAUGCAUCUUAAUCUGCCUCCAACCAUUAUUCCAAUACGUGUGCACAGUGCCUGAGCUUCAUUCAUGCUGUGGGUUGUAAGAAUUACAGCCGUCUUUCCUUGUCUAGUGGAUAGACGGGAUAUCACUUCCCACAUGAAUCGUUUGGCAAUAGGAUCCAUACCUGUUGAUGGCUCAUCAAGAAUUACUAUUGGGGGAUCUCCGAUCAUUGCAAUUGCAACAGAUAAUUUGCGCUUGUUUCCCCCACUAAGGGCGAAAGAUGGUUUAUCAGCAUGCCUCAGCAAGUCAAACUCCACCAUCUUUUCUAUGACAAUAUCUUCCAUCCUGUAAUCUGCAACUCCUUUUAUUCUUGCAUAAAGCUCAAGAUGCUCUCUGACAGUUAAGAAUUCCAAUAAAGCAUCAAAUUGGGGGCAAUAUCCAAUAUGCCGACGAACAGCCUUGGGAUUUGAACGUAUAUCUUUGCCAAAAAUAAAGGCAGUUCCAUCAGUUGGAGAUUCUUCUCCAGAUAACAUCGACAGAGUUGUAGUCUUCCCAGCUCCAUUUGUUCCUAAAAAUCCAAAACAUUCUCCUGGUUGAACUGAGAAAGUCAAUGAAUGCACAGCAACUUUCAUGCCAUAUUUUCCUCCAGGAUAUACCUUCUGAAGAUUGCGUAAGUAAAGGAUGGCAUUGUCAACAGAUCCUGAAAGUACUCUGUUUCUUUCUGUUUGCACAUCUAUAUCUUCCUCAAAGUCAACACCAACAACUUCUGACGGAAAUUUUAGAAGAGGUUCAGAAAAUCCUGAAGAACCAUGCCAGAAAUUUUUAAAAUUCCUCCAACAUUGCUUGAUUGUAACUGGAGUUAACUUGUGAGAAGGCAACAGUUCAAACCCAAUUGUCAAGAGAAAGUAAAUAAUGCUCUCAAUGCCAAGGUAACAAAUGGAGGCACCAGUAACAUUCCAAUCAAAAACUGUGUCACUAGAUUUAUCUUUCAUCCCUUGUCGUAGAAGGGCCAGUGAAGCAAGUCCAUCAGCAAAGCAAAACCCAGGUGAUAUUCUGAAGAAAUUCUUGAGAAAGUUAUUUGCACUUCUUGUUGUCUCUAUAAGCCCCAUUAUGAAUGAGAUAACCAUAAGAACCAGUCCGGUGAAGAAGUGGACCAAAAGAACCACAUUCUGAGCCAUGGUGUGAUCAGAAAACAAGAAUGUAAGGCAGUAUGUUGAAGAUGCAAUUGCUAGUCCAUACUCCAAAAAUAUCAGAAGUGUUGGAAAGAAACAAUCCCUUCCAAUAAACUGAUCCAAACCAAAGAUGUAGAAAAGAACUAUUGCGAGAAAUGAAGGAAAUAAGAAGCUGA
Molecule: unclassified non-coding RNA, 1992 nt
Filed under: Hevea brasiliensis (rubber tree)
Lineage: Eukaryota; Viridiplantae; Streptophyta; Magnoliopsida; Malpighiales; Euphorbiaceae
Source: RNAcentral